This 468-nucleotide ribosomal RNA is filed under the name uncultured bacterium. Its description in RNAcentral is "partial 16S ribosomal RNA". It matches the Rfam family "Bacterial small subunit ribosomal RNA", at positions 28 to 507 of the family's 1533-position model. The record is from RNAcentral.
GACGAACGCUGGCGGCGUGCUUAACACAUGCAAGUCGAACGGAAAGGCCCUGCUUUUGUGGGGUGCUCGAGUGGCGAACGGGUGAGUAGCACGUGAGUAACCUGCCCUUGACUUUGGGAUAGCUUCAGGAAACUGGGGCUAAUACCGGAUAGGAGCUCCUGCUGCAUGGUGGGGGUUGGAAAGUUUCGGCAGUUGGGGAUGGACUCGCGGCUUAUCAGCUUGUUGGUGGGGUAGUGGCUUACCAAGGCUUUGACGGGUAGCCGGCCUGAGAGGGUGACCGGCCACAUUGGGACUGAGAUACGGCCCAGACUCCUACGGGAGGCAGCAGUGGGGAAUAUUGCACAAUGGGCGGAAGCCUGAUGCAGCAACGCCGCGUGCGGGAUGACGGCCUUCGGGUUGUAAACCGCUUUCGCCUGUGACGAAGCGUGAGUGACGGUAAUGGGUAAAGAAGCACCGGCUAACUACGUG